RNAcentral lists this long non-coding RNA (457 nucleotides) under Salmo salar (Atlantic salmon). Its description in RNAcentral is "lncRNA (ENSSSAG00000087092.1)". Lineage: Eukaryota; Metazoa; Chordata; Actinopteri; Salmoniformes; Salmonidae. The record is from RNAcentral.
GUGGAGAUAUGUAGAAGUGGAGAUAUGUAGAAGUGGAGAUAUGUAGAGUGGAGAUAUGUAGAAGUGGAGAUAUGUAGAGUGGAGAUAUGUAGAGUGGAGAUAUGUAGAAGUGGAGAUAUGUAGAAGUGGAGAUAUGUAGAAAUGGAGAUAUGUAGAAGUGGAGAUAUGUAGAAGUGGAGAUAUGUAGAAGUGGAGAUAUGUAGAAGUGGAGAUAUGUAGAAGUGGAGAUAUGUAGAAGUGGAGAUAUGUAGAAGUGGAGAUAUGUAGAAGACAAACAGAUGAACUGUCAGUAUACUCAGUUGAACUGUUGGCGAUAGUAGUUUGCCUUCAGUGGUUGGAGGACAUACAACCUGUCAGAAUUAUAGUACGCUCAGAUUCCCUGUCUGUGUUGAAUAGUUUAUCAUCUGGUAAAUCUAAUAGGAGUGACCUACUAUUGGAGGCAUUAAUGUUAUUGUGG